GCUCGGCAUGGCCGAGGCGGCAUGAAGCCGGGUCGCGGCGGAUAGACGCACUAGUUUCAGGUACUAGCGGGUAAAACCGUGGAGGUUCGAGUCCUCUUCUGGGCACCA
RNAcentral lists this transfer RNA (108 nucleotides) under Lysobacterales bacterium. RNAcentral describes it as "tRNA-Leu". The record is from RNAcentral. Lineage: Bacteria; Pseudomonadati; Pseudomonadota; Gammaproteobacteria; Lysobacterales.